This 65-nucleotide transfer RNA is filed under the name Dipodomys ordii (Ord's kangaroo rat). It matches the Rfam family "tRNA". From Rfam's summary of the family: Transfer RNA (tRNA) molecules are approximately 80 nucleotides in length. Their secondary structure includes four short double-helical elements and three loops (D, anti-codon, and T loops). Further hydrogen bonds mediate the characteristic L-shaped molecular structure. tRNAs have two regions of fundamental functional importance: the anti-codon, which is responsible for specific mRNA codon recognition, and the 3' end, to which the tRNAs corresponding amino acid is attached (by aminoacyl-tRNA synthetases). tRNAs cope with the degeneracy of the genetic code in two manners: having more than one tRNA (with a specific anti-codon) for a particular amino acid; and 'wobble' base-pairing, i.e. permitting non-standard base-pairing at the 3rd anti-codon position. Lineage: Eukaryota; Metazoa; Chordata; Mammalia; Rodentia; Heteromyidae. The record is from Rfam by way of RNAcentral.
GGUGGCUUAGUGGUAGAGCGCUUGCCUUGUAUGCAUAAGGCCCUGGGUUCCAUUCCUCAGCACCA